RNAcentral lists this non-coding RNA (109 nucleotides) under Pseudocoprococcus catus. RNAcentral's name for it is "Coprococcus catus TPP sequence". It matches the Rfam family "TPP riboswitch aptamer (THI element)". From Rfam's summary of the family: Vitamin B(1) in its active form thiamin pyrophosphate (TPP) is an essential coenzyme that is synthesised by coupling of pyrimidine and thiazole moieties in bacteria. The previously detected thiamin-regulatory element, thi box was extended, resulting in a new, highly conserved RNA secondary structure, the THI element, which is widely distributed in eubacteria and also occurs in some archaea. The record is from Rfam by way of RNAcentral. Lineage: Bacteria; Bacillati; Bacillota; Clostridia; Lachnospirales; Lachnospiraceae.
AGUGUGACAGCGGGGAGUCUGCCGGAGCAGGCUGAGAACAGGCUGAGCCGCCUGGACCCAUAACCUGAUUUGGAUCAUGCCAACGUAGGGAUAUGUAUGCACACCGUCG